This 309-nucleotide unclassified non-coding RNA is filed under the name Cadophora sp. RNAcentral describes it as "partial internal transcribed spacer region". The stretch from base 1 to 46 matches the Rfam family "Eukaryotic small subunit ribosomal RNA", at positions 1786 to 1831 of the family's 1831-position model. The record is from RNAcentral. Lineage: Eukaryota; Fungi; Ascomycota; Leotiomycetes; Helotiales; Ploettnerulaceae.
AAGUCGUAACAAGGUUUCCGUAGGUGAACCUGCGGAAGGAUCAUUACUAGAGCAAAGGAUAGACAGCGCCCGCGGAGCUCGCUCCCGGGGCCACCCUACUCCGGUAGGGUUUAGAGUCGUCGGGCCUCUCGGAGAAGCUCGGUCCUGAACUCCACCCUUGAAUAAACUACCUUUGUUGCUUUGGCGGGCCGCCUCGUGCCAGCGGCUUCGGCUGUUGAGUGCCCGCCAGAGGACCACAACUCUUGUUUUUAGUGAUGUCUGAGUACUAUAUAAUAGUUAAAACUUUCAACAACGGAUCUCUUGGUUCUG